Molecule: long non-coding RNA, 526 nt
Organism: Mus caroli (Ryukyu mouse)
Lineage: Eukaryota; Metazoa; Chordata; Mammalia; Rodentia; Muridae
Source: RefSeq, a predicted model, not a curated record
UUGCAAGUAUCGUGCGUGCCCUUGUGAGUUUGGAGGGUGCCGGUCAACGAAGCCACGCGAGGUAUUUGAAAGGCAAUCAGCCCGACCGUCCCCCUAGAUUCAUCGGAGAAGGAACUAGGUGAAUAUUGCCCUGGGUCCUGGUAAUUCUACCUACUGAAGACAAAAGCCCCUUCUGCUCAUAUUUCCUGAGUCAACAUGGCCGUUCCUAACUUUGAAGAGACUUUAGACAUUCUUUGUUACAAUGAGCCCAGAAGAAAGAAGAGAAAUAAUAACUGCCAUGGAAGGAUGCUCCUCCUGCCAAUUGGCACUUAUCAAUGACAUCGAGGGAGAGGGACAGAGUGCCUAGGUAUGAGCCUUCAUCAAGUAGUAUGAAGGCCCUACCCCAACAGAAAGUGCUGAUGUGAAGAAGUGAUGCUUUGGACAAGACUUUUCCUCCAAGUUGGUCCUAUCCAGAGGUUGGCAAACAGGGUCCCUGGACAUCAUCCCUGUUGUGUACUAUUAUGAAUAAAGUUCUAUAGGACACAGA